Molecule: ribosomal RNA, 499 nt
Filed under: uncultured bacterium
Lineage: Bacteria
Description: partial 16S ribosomal RNA
Rfam family: Bacterial small subunit ribosomal RNA
Source: RNAcentral
GAUGAACGCUGGCGGCGUGCCUAAUACAUGCAAGUCGAGCGAACAGACGAGAGUGCUUGCACUCUCUGACGUUAGCGGCGGACGGGUGAGUAACACGUGGGUAACCUACCUAUAAGACUGGGAUAACUUCGGGAAACCGGAGCUAAUACCGGAUAAUAUUUAGCUUCGCAUGAAGCAAUAGUGAAAGACGGUUCUGCUGUCACUUAUAGAUGGACCCGCGGUGUAUUAGCUAGUUGGUGAGGUAACGGCUCACCAAGGCAACGAUACAUAGCCGACCUGAGAGGGUGAUCGGCCACACUGGGACUGAGACACGGCCCAGACUCCUACGGGAGGCAGCAGUAAGGAAUCUUCCGCAAUGGACGAAAGUCUGACGGAGCAAUGCCGCGUGAGUGAAGAAGGUUUUCGGAUCGUAAAACUCUGUUGUAAGGGAAGAACAAGUACGUUAGUAACUGAACGUACCUUGACGGUACCUUACCAGAAAGCCACGGCUAACUACGUG